RNAcentral lists this ribosomal RNA (450 nucleotides) under uncultured Sphingobacteriales bacterium. RNAcentral's name for it is "bacterial SSU rRNA". It matches the Rfam family "Bacterial small subunit ribosomal RNA", at positions 930 to 1382 of the family's 1533-position model. Lineage: Bacteria; Pseudomonadati; Bacteroidota; Sphingobacteriia; Sphingobacteriales. The record is from RNAcentral.
CGGAGGAGCAUGUGGUUUAAUUCGAUGAUACGCGAGGAACCUUACCUGGGCUCGAACGUAAGAUGACUGUAGGUGAAAGCUUACAUCUCUUCGGAGCAUUUUACGAGGUGCUGCAUGGUUGUCGUCAGCUCGUGCCGUGAGGUGUCGGGUUAAGUCCCAUAACGAGCGCAACCCUACCUUUAGUUGCCAUCAGGUAAUGCUGGGGACUCUAAAGGAACUGCCUACGCAAGUAGUGAGGAAGCGGGGAUGACGUCAAAUCAGCACGGCCCUUACGUCCAGGGCUACACACGUGCUACAAUGGCCGAUACAGAGGGCAGCUACCUGGUGACAGGAUGCAAAUCUCCAAAGUCGGUCUCAGUUCGGAUCGGAGUCUGCAACCCGACUCCGUGAAGUUGGAUUCGCUAGUAAUCGCGCAUCAGCCAUGGCGCGGUGAAUACGUUCCCGGGCCUU